Molecule: long non-coding RNA, 1278 nt
Organism: Lycium ferocissimum
Lineage: Eukaryota; Viridiplantae; Streptophyta; Magnoliopsida; Solanales; Solanaceae
Exons: 2
Source: RefSeq, a predicted model, not a curated record
ACCAAAUCCGAGCUUGCGAUUCACAGCAACAACAGAGCAGACGAAAAAAAAAGAUUGUUUGAGUAUUUUUGGAUUCGAUAAUUUGAACUAUCACAACAAAUUGCAAAUUUGAUAUUUUGGGCAAACUUUAGGUGACUCCUAGAUCGGUUCCCAGAGCCCCCUAUUCGACUGGCAAAACGAUUAUUUAUAGGAUCGAUUCGGGUUUGAGCUAGGGUUUUCUUUACGAAGAUGACGAUGAAAGAGAGGAGAGAGGAGAGGGGAGGGGGCGGCGUCUGAUGAAGGAGAUAGGGUUUCCUUUGUUUUGAACGAAUCCGGGUCGGGUCAAAAGGUUUAGUGGACUGGGUCGAUUAAAAUAUGGGCAGAUGAAUAGGAUGUUGGGCUGGUGAGUUAAAAGAAUGGGCUAAUGAUAUUGAAAUAUGGCCAGAUAAAUUGAAAAUGUGGGCUCAUCUUAUGACUUGAUCAAAAAAAAAAUAGUAUGAGUUGAUUGGGCUACUACAUUUAAAUAAAAGAGCUAUUUAAAUAACUCUAUACUAAAGUGUGUUAAAAUAUUACUUAAUAUAAAAUAUGCAAUUAUUAGUGCUCAGAUGAUAAAAUUAUAUGUCGUCGUAAUAGCCGUGCAAUAAUAUUUAGAAAGUCCACAGUAAAUAAAUACUAUUAUUCUAAUUAUGCGAAGAUAAAUGCAAUGCGUGUGCGUAAGCUGGUAAAAAAGUGCUGAAAUGAUAAAAAAUGUGAAUUAUAAUAGUACUGGUAACGUAAUAAUAAUAAUAAUAAUAAUAAUAAUAGCAGCUAGUAACUGUAAUAGAAUAAUGAAACGCCGGUAUUGAUAAGAGGCUAAUAAUUAUAGUAAAAUAUAAAUAUAUUUUUUAAUUUGCCAAAAAUAUUAGAAGCGUAAAUAGGUAUUUCGGAGGAGAGGCGGGACAAAAUUGGGUGUCAACAAUCUACAGAUAUGGCCGCAUAUUGAGAAGUUGGAUGCCGAGGUACUAACUGAAGAUAUUCAUCCUCUGGUUCGAAAAGCUAUGUACUGUGGAUUGCGAAGACCUUUGGAUGGAUGAUCUAUAACUUUGUCAGUUUCUUUUUAUUUUGUUCUAUUGCUUGUGCUUGAUGUUCCUGAUGAGUUUUGUUGGUGUAUGAUGAGUAUUGGAUUUUGUUAGGUAGAUUAGAUGUUCAUUUUAGUUGAAUGUAAAAUAGUUGUAAAAGCAAAAGUUGUAGGAAGAAUGGUGUAUUUUUCAGACUAGAGAAUUCGUUUCGUUUAAUGAUAUAGGAUUACCAUGCAUAUUA